This 253-nucleotide ribosomal RNA is filed under the name uncultured bacterium. RNAcentral describes it as "partial 16S ribosomal RNA". It matches the Rfam family "Bacterial small subunit ribosomal RNA", at positions 524 to 776 of the family's 1533-position model. The record is from RNAcentral.
UACAGAGGUCCCGAGCGUUGUUCGGAUUCACUGGGCGUAAAGGGUGCGUAGGUGGCUGGGAAAGUUUGAUGUGAAAGCUCAGGGCUUAACCCUGAAAUGGCAUUGAAUACUGCCUGGCUGGAGGUUUGGAGGGGGGACUGGAAUUCUUGGUGUAGCAGUGAAAUGCGUAGAUAUCGAGAGGAACACCAGUGGCGAAGGCGGGUCCCUGGACAACACCUGACACUGAGGCACGAAAGCUAGGGGAGCAAACAGG